This is a small nucleolar RNA of Phyllostomus discolor (pale spear-nosed bat), 134 nucleotides long. RefSeq annotates it as small nucleolar RNA SNORA42/SNORA80 family. The transcript has a single exon. NCBI's taxonomy places the organism in Eukaryota, Metazoa, Chordata, Mammalia, Chiroptera, Phyllostomidae. The record is from RefSeq and is a predicted model, not a curated record.
GUAUAGGUUUGAAUUUAUGGUAGGACUGCCACCCUGAGUCUCUUAUAGUGUCCCAUGCCAGAGCAAACUGUGGCCUUGAAUCAUUGCCUGGCUUCUGCCCACAGGCUGCAGACACUGAAGCAGGUUGCACAAUG